GAUGAACGCUGGCGGCGUGCCUAAUACAUGCAAGUCGAGCGAACGGACGAGAAGCUUGCUUCUCUGAUGUUAGCGGCGGACGGGUGAGUAACACGUGGAUAACCUACCUAUAAGACUGGGAUAACUUCGGGAAACCGGAGCUAAUACCGGAUAAUAUUUUGAACCGCAUGGUUCAAAAGUGAAAGACGGUCUUGCUGUCACUUAUAGAUGGAUCCGCGCUGCAUUAGCUAGUUGGUAAGGUAACGGCUUACCAAGGCAACGAUGCAUAGCCGACCUGAGAGGGUGAUCGGCCACACUGGAACUGAGACACGGUCCAGACUCCUACGGGAGGCAGCAGUAGGGAAUCUUCCGCAAUGGGCGAAAGCCUGACGGAGCAACGCCGCGUGAGUGAUGAAGGUCUUCGGAUCGUAAAACUCUGUUAUUAGGGAAGAACAUAUGUGUAAGUAACUGUGCACAUCUUGACGGUACCUAAUCAGAAAGCCACGGCUAACUACGUGCCAGCAGCCGCGGUAAUACGUAGGUGGCAAGCGUUAUCCGGAAUUAUUGGGCGUAAAGCGCGCGUAGGCGGUUUUUUAAGUCUGAUGUGAAAGCCCACGGCUCAACCGUGGAGGGUCAUUGGAAACUGGAAAACUUGAGUGCAGAAGAGGAAAGUGGAAUUCCAUGUGUAGCGGUGAAAUGCGCAGAGAUAUGGAGGAACACCAGUGGCGAAGGCGACUUUCUGGUCUGUAACUGACGCUGAUGUGCGAAAGCGUGGGGAUCAAACAGGAUUAGAUACCCUGGUAGUCCACGCCGUAAACGAUGAGUGCUAAGUGUUAGGGGGUUUCCGCCCCCUAGUGCUGCAGCUAACGCAUUAAGCACUCCGCCUGGGGAGUACGACCGCAAGGUUGAAACUCAAAGGAAUUGACGGGGACCCGCACAAGCGGUGGAGCAUGUGGUUUAAUUCGAAGCAACGCGAAGAACCUUACCAAAUCUUGACAUCCUUUGACAACUCUAGAGAUAGAGCCUUCCCCUUCGGGGGACAAAGUGACAGGUGGUGCAUGGUUGUCGUCAGCUCGUGUCGUGAGAUGUUGGGUUAAGUCCCGCAACGAGCGCAACCCUUAAGCUUAGUUGCCAUCAUUAAGUUGGGCACUCUAAGUUGACUGCCGGUGACAAACCGGAGGAAGGUGGGGAUGACGUCAAAUCAUCAUGCCCCUUAUGAUUUGGGCUACACACGUGCUACAAUGGACAAUACAAAGGGCAGCGAAACCGCGAGGUCAAGCAAAUCCCAUAAAGUUGUUCUCAGUUCGGAUUGUAGUCUGCAACUCAACUACAUGAAGCUGGAAUCGCUAGUAAUCGUAGAUCAGCAUGCUACGGUGAAUACGUUCCCGGGUCU
Molecule: ribosomal RNA, 1372 nt
Filed under: uncultured bacterium
Lineage: Bacteria
Description: bacterial SSU rRNA
Rfam family: Bacterial small subunit ribosomal RNA
Source: RNAcentral